CCCGCCCCCAAAUCCCGUGGCCCUCUGCGGGACAUUAUUUAAGUCCCUCGCUGCGCUUUUUCGGUCUUGUUUCAUUCGCUGUUGUCUGGUUCAGGCACACGUUUGAGUAGAAAAGAACCCUGCGCUGAUUGGAAUGUUCCGCUCAAAAGAGCUUACUGUCCUGAGGAAUUCAGCUUCCCUGGGGCAGUUUCAGGUCCUGAUGCUGUAUCAUCUGUCUUCUGUAAGUUACCUAUGGUAACUAUGGUAAAUGAGGAACAUUAUGGUUGUGAACCCAUUAUCCAGGAUGAACUAAUUUUACCUUCAAGGUACCCAACAAUAUGCCAAGGUCCGGUUGCUGGAAGGAGCUGA
RNAcentral lists this long non-coding RNA (348 nucleotides) under Dasypus novemcinctus (nine-banded armadillo). RNAcentral describes it as "lncRNA (ENSDNOG00000049879.1)". Lineage: Eukaryota; Metazoa; Chordata; Mammalia; Cingulata; Dasypodidae. The record is from RNAcentral.